This 486-nucleotide ribosomal RNA is filed under the name Triticum aestivum (bread wheat). RNAcentral's name for it is "partial small subunit ribosomal RNA". Lineage: Eukaryota; Viridiplantae; Streptophyta; Magnoliopsida; Poales; Poaceae. The record is from RNAcentral.
AUGGAGUUCAAAGAUCUCUAUUCUUUUAAUCUUGUCAUGCUCUCAAAGCAAGUUUGGCAGUUGAUCACUAACCCGGAUUCUCUUUGUGCAAGAGUAUUGAAAGCUAAAUACUUCCCCAAUGAAAGUUUAUUACAAGCUACCCUGAAGAGUGGUGCUUCAUUUACAUGGCAGAGCAUUAUGAAAGGUCUUGAAACAUUUAAGUUGGGGUAUAUAUGGAGGGUUGGUUCCGGUGAGAACAUCAACAUCAGGAGCAACCCCUGGAUACAGUCUAGUCCAGACAUGAGAGUUUUAUCAAACCGGGGGCAAACUCUGAUAUCACGAGUUCAUGAUCUAAUUGACCCUAUGACUGGAUUUUGGGACGAGGAACUGAUCAGGUCUAUAUUCAUAUCGGUUGAUGCAGACAGGAUCUUGUAAAUUCCCCUCAACUAUGGGGCUUUCGAGGACUUUAUCGCAUGGCACCUGGAUCACAAAGGGUUUUCUCUGUGA